AUUGAACGCUGGCGGAAUGCUUUACACAUGCAAGUCGAACGGCAGCACGGACUUCGGUCUGGUGGCGAGUGGCGAACGGGUGAGUAAUGUAUCGGAACGUGCCCAGUCGUGGGGGAUAACGUAGUGAAAAUUACGCUAAUACCGCAUACGAUCUAUGGAUGAAAGCGGGGGAUCGUAAGACCUCGCGCGAUUGGAGCGGCCGAUAUCAGAUUAGGUAGUUGGUGGGGUAAAGGCCCACCAAGCCAACGAACUGUAGCUGGUCUGAGAGGACGACCAGCAGAACUGGAACUGAGACACGGUCCAGACUCCUACGGGAGGCAGCAGUGGGGAAUUUUGAACAAUGGGCGAAAGCCUGAUCCAGCCAUUCCGCGUGCAUGAUGAAGGCCCUCGGGUUGUAAACUGCUUUUGUACAGAACGAAAAGGUUUCUACUAAUACUAGGAGCUCAUGACGGUACUGUAAGAAUAAGCACCGGCUAACUACGUGCCAGCCGCCGCGGUAA
RNAcentral lists this ribosomal RNA (500 nucleotides) under uncultured bacterium. RNAcentral describes it as "partial 16S ribosomal RNA". It matches the Rfam family "Bacterial small subunit ribosomal RNA", at positions 30 to 523 of the family's 1533-position model. The record is from RNAcentral.